CACACAAUCACAGCCAGCCUAUAAAUGGGAUUGUGCAGCCCAGCCUUAACUCAGCAGCAAAACUGCAGGGGGACUGGGAAACGAGGCACUGACUUCCAGGUGAGAAACGACCUGAAACACUUCAAUGAACUGCAGCUUUGACCUGGGGGUGGUGGAGCCCAAGGAGUGUUUGCCACCCAUCAGCUUCCCAGGUCCUCAGCAUUUGUGACCCUGCAGCGUCAGCGGCGUUGGGCAGGUAUUUGGCAGAAGGUCCUGAGUCUCCUCUUUGGGGCAGCUGGCAACAAGACCUCUCCCUUCUGGGGGCUGAAAAUGAAGUGGGAAGAGGUCAGGUGUGUGAUGAAGGGUUGGGUACCAGCUGAUGGAUGUAAAAGGCACCAACCAACCACCCAGUGAUACCCAUCCAGCCCUGAAGCGGGGGCUUGGGCUGAGGCUGUCCUCCAGCCUUCCUGAUGGUGACCGCUGAUGGCUUUUUGUUGGGUGCACCCAUUGGGGUGGUAAUCUUGACCUUGAGGCUACAUAAAGUGGAAGUUAGUGGAAAGUCUGGAAAAGCUGCAUCUUUCUGGGGAAAAAAAGGAUGGUUUUGGUGCUUCAGAGUAACCUGCUGCUGCGUGUCCCCAGGAGGGCACGUGUGCAGCUGUACCGGAGAGCAAAACGCAACCCGGUGCCUGUUCACUGAUCCGAGGGCUGGAUGAUUAAAAGCUUAAUGCUGCAGGCUGUGUUCCCCUGGGCACUGCCACUGCCUUCGUCCCCUGUCCGGCACGCUGACAUUACUGACACAGUUUGUUUUGGGGACACGCACCAGAGGAACAGCAUCUUCCCGGCACUUACUGGGGGCGCUUGCUGGAGCACCUUUUGUUCAACAUUAAACUUCUCGUGUCUCUUCCCAGGCCUCUGCCUCCUGUUGUGACAAAAAAAUGUUCAAGAGCUUCAUCUCGAAGCCGUGACAAUAGCUUUCAGAGAGUGUUUUGAAGAUUUUAUUUGCCUCUGGAAUAGUUUUAAUCAAAGUAUUUUUUUUCUAUCAGUUUUUGGACACUUUACAGUUUUCAGUAGCUGCCUUGAAUCAAGUCCAUGAGUAUGUCUAACAUGCCAAAAAUAGAUUCAGCUGAAGCCUCUAUUACAAUUAUCACUUUGGAUUUCUGUGCCACUUACCACUUAAGUGGUUUACAAGCAAUUACAGCCCAAAUCUUCGAGAACCUGUUGGAAGCAGAGCAUUUCCUGCCCCGGGUUCACAGAGAAGUGGAGCAGCUCGGUGCGAUGCUGCUCUGCCACCAGCUGAGCUCUGGUACCAGAGGAAGGGAAGAGGGGAGGAUGCUCCUCGGUAAUCCAGCCCCAGCAGACAUGCCCAUGGUAACAGAGCAGCAGGGGCAGAAGAGGAGAAUCCAGAUUCCCUGCAUUCAGUCCUAUCCCAAGAGCAAACCAGCUUGAGUGCUGCUGCUGGCAAUCCCUCUUCUGUUCUUGAAUUCUGCUGGGAAGGGUUAAAAGCCCUUAAGCCAGAUAGAUGGAAAGACAGAUAGAUAUUCACGUCGCUGUUCGUGUAAAAGCAGCAUCAAAUGAGAAAGAUUAGCUAUGUAUUUGGCAAGCUGCUUGCAUAUGUCACAUUUAAUCCCUUCAUCAUGGCUUCUUAGUACCGAGCAGAUUAUUAGCGAGUAAUGGAAUGGUGUGAGAAUACCUGGUGGCAUUAUAUCUGCAUCUCCCCUUUGUUAUUACCUUCAGGAACGGAUAAUGUGAACAUGAAAUAAGAAUUACCCAAGGAUUGUGUUCAAUGCAGGACCUGAGAAGCCUCCUGGAGGGGAACUGCUGCAACAAAGGACUUUCAGCAGACGUUGGCUGGGCUGGGCUGUGUUGGGGUCCUGCUGGAAGGGCUGAGUCCAGGAAUGGUGUCUGAAAUGUAAUAUUGCUUUGAAUUCAGAGCACGGAUUUGAGAGGACAUUUUCAGUCACAUCUGGGAACUGUAGGACCAACACUAAUGUUCAAAAUGUAAUGUUUUGUGGUUAUGCAGACAUGCAGCAUUAUUCUGCCUUUUCUGCUCCAAAAGCUACGAUGUGCAGCAAUAUAGGACUGAAGAAUCCGAGCACUGUUGAAAAGACAUCUUAUUUUUCCUUUAAGGUUGCUUAAUUAAUUUCUUUCAACUUCUUUAUACUGUUUGAUGAAUGUUAUUUCAAACUACUGUCAAGGGAAAUGUGAGGAGGGAAAAAUGAACCACCUACAUACUGCUUCGAAUACAAUUGUAUCUCCCUUGACAAACAGAAUUUAAAAAAAAAAAAAAAGGUGUUAGCCCUAUAUGCAUGACAGAGAGGGUUUAGAAUAAUUGUGCUUGUUUCUAUUUUAAUUAUCCUUGUCAGGACAUUUUGUAAAACACACAAAAAAAAUUAUAAGUUAAAUAAAAAUCAGAGGCAGGCCAG
This is a long non-coding RNA of Anas platyrhynchos (mallard), 2402 nucleotides long. RefSeq lists it as uncharacterized. The record is from RefSeq and is a predicted model, not a curated record. Lineage: Eukaryota; Metazoa; Chordata; Aves; Anseriformes; Anatidae.